GGUAUGUUGCUAAAGACACUUGUAAACAUUGUUUUUCAUAUGAUCUGUUGUCUCCUGUAGUGGAAAGUGCUGCUGAAAAAUGAAGAGGCCUCAACCUUAGAGAGAUGGAUCAAUACCUUGCAACACUCGACAAGAUACUUUCAAAAUGCAAGAUCUAGGAUAGGAUGAUAUUUUCCUUUUUCUUUUGUUGUAUGAGCUCUAUGUUGUCUGUUUAGGUGGUCUUUGAUGACUGAUCUGAAAUCCAACUCUAAAAAUAUCGUUGUGGAAAGUUUUGAUGUUUGUUUCCUCUAGUGAUAUUUAAGCAUGAGUCUUUUGAACCUCAGUGGUUGUUUUUGUGUAAUAGCUUAUAAAACCGGUAUCCUAGGUGCUCAAACUGGCUUCUUGCUUUAAUAAAAAGCGGGGCAUUAUGCCUUCUUCCAAAAAAAAUGUUGCAAGUGUAACAAGUUAAUCACCUUGCUACCUUGCUCUUAGAGGAUAAUAGUUUUCUCACAUACGGCACCAAUGUUGGGCUUGUAAAUUCAAGACAUCAUGUUACUCCCAUUGACGCAACUUUUCAUGUUCCAAUGCAUCCCAUUCCAAACUAGUAUUCACUGUGCCAAUCAUCUAGAAAAAGGAAGGCUAGACCACACAUCUAAAUGUAAUUUUGGGUAUCAUGGCUGAGAGGGGAGAGGAUUCAGCAACAGUGCUGCAAAGACAUGGACAAUUCUU
This 708-nucleotide long non-coding RNA is filed under the name Oryza brachyantha (malo sina). Its description in RNAcentral is "long non-coding RNA (OBRA_LNC001892)". The record is from RNAcentral. Lineage: Eukaryota; Viridiplantae; Streptophyta; Magnoliopsida; Poales; Poaceae.